RNAcentral lists this ribosomal RNA (448 nucleotides) under uncultured bacterium. RNAcentral describes it as "SSU rRNA". It matches the Rfam family "Bacterial small subunit ribosomal RNA", at positions 26 to 518 of the family's 1533-position model. The record is from RNAcentral.
AGAGCGAACGCUGGCGGCAGGCCUAACACAUGCAAGUCGAGCGGCCGUAGCAAUACGGCAGCGGCAGACGGGAGAGUAACACGUGGGAACGCGCCCUUCGGUUCGGAAUAACUCAGGGAAACUUGGGCUAAUACCGGAUACGCCCUUACGGGGAAAGAUUUAUUGCCGAAGGAACGGCCCGCGUCCGAUUAGCUUGUUGGUGAGGUAACGGCUCACCAAGGCGACGAUCGGUAGCUGGUCUGAGAGGAUGACCAGCCUCACUGGGACUGAGACACGGCCCAGACUCCUACGGGAGGCAGCAGUGGGGAAUAUUGGACAAUGGGCGCAAGCCUGAUCCAGCCAUGCCGCGUGGGUGAUGAAGGCCCUAGGGUUGUAAAGCCCUUUCGGCGGGGAAGAUAAUGACGGUACCCGCAGAAGAAGCCCGGCUAACUUCGCGCCAGCACGCCGC